RNAcentral lists this long non-coding RNA (412 nucleotides) under Ananas comosus (pineapple). RNAcentral describes it as "long non-coding RNA (ACOM_LNC042756)". Lineage: Eukaryota; Viridiplantae; Streptophyta; Magnoliopsida; Poales; Bromeliaceae. The record is from RNAcentral.
UUGAAAUGUACUAAAGGAUUUGAGUUUUUCUUGAAAUAAAACAGUUUUCUACCCCUCGUGGUAGCUGGUUUGAAAAAGAAUGGUUCCCGUGUGGGGAUUAGUUUUUAAAUUGAUUUCUCUGUGGUUUUAUGGAUUUAGUAUUUCAAAAUCAGUUUCCAGGUAGGAAACAUUUUAACUGAUAGAUGUAGAAUGUUAUUCAUAAUUCAAGUUUCAUAUCUGGGUGUGUGAAUGGAAUGGAUGAAUGUUACCUAUCUUAUUGUUCAUCUGGUUGUGGUUGUGAUUGUAUGUGUAUCUAUACUCUGUUGUACUUGUGCGACGCCGUGCAAAUACAGGGGAGACUCUGUCCGUGUGAACAGUGGAGCUCCUGUAUUUGUGGCGGAUCUGGCAUACUCUGGGGUCAGAUUUUCAAAAA